Molecule: ribosomal RNA, 467 nt
Filed under: uncultured bacterium
Lineage: Bacteria
Description: partial 16S ribosomal RNA
Rfam family: Bacterial small subunit ribosomal RNA
Source: RNAcentral
UCCCAGACUCCUACGGGAGGCAGCAGUGAGGAAUAUUGGUCAAUGGGAGGAAUCCUGAACCAGCCAUGCCGCGUGCAGGACGACGGCUCUACGAGUUGUAAACUGCUUUUGUACCGGGGUAAAAUGCCUUACGAGUAGGGUUUUGAAAGUACGGUACGAAUAAGGAUCGGCUAACUCCGUGCCAGCAGCCGCGGUAAUACGGAGGAUCCGAGCGUUAUCCGGAUUCAUUGGGUUUAAAGGGUGCGUAGGUUGUUUUAUAAGUUAGCGGUGAAAUACCGGGGCUCAACCCCGGGGCUGCCGUUGAAACCGGAGCGCUAGAAUUCCGAUGCCGUCGGAGGAAUGUGUGGUGUAGCGGUGAAAUGCAUAGAUAUCACACAGAACACCGAUUGCGAAGGCAUCUGACGAAUCGGAGAUUGACGCUGAUGCACGAAAGCGUGGGUAUCGAACAGGAUUAGAUACCCCCGUAA